RNAcentral lists this ribosomal RNA (472 nucleotides) under uncultured eubacterium WR8146. Its description in RNAcentral is "bacterial SSU rRNA". It matches the Rfam family "Bacterial small subunit ribosomal RNA", at positions 9 to 527 of the family's 1533-position model. The record is from RNAcentral.
GAGUUUGAUCAUGGCUCAGAACGAACGCUGGCGGCAUGCCUAACACAUGCAAGUCGAACGAGACCUUCGGGUCUAGUGGCGCACGGGUGCGUAACGCGUGGGAAUCUGCCCUUGGGUUCGGAAUAACACAGAGAAAUUUGUGCUAAUACCGGAUGAUGUCUUCGGACCAAAGAUUUAUCGCCCAAGGAUGAGCCCGCGUAGGAUUAGGUAGUUGGUGGGGUAAUGGCCUACCAAGCCGACGAUCCUUAGCUGGUCUGAGAGGAUGAUCAGCCACACUGGGACUGAGACACGGCCCAGACUCCUACGGGAGGCAGCAGUGGGGAAUAUUGGACAAUGGGCGAAAGCCUGAUCCAGCAAUGCCGCGUGAGUGAUGAAGGCCUUAGGGUUGUAAAGCUCUUUUACCAGGGAUGAUAAUGACAGUACCUGGAGAAUAAGCUCCGGCUAACUCCGUGCCAGCAGCCGCGGUAAUACG